Long non-coding RNA from Pipra filicauda (Wire-tailed manakin), 684 nucleotides. RefSeq lists it as uncharacterized. The record is from RefSeq and is a predicted model, not a curated record. NCBI's taxonomy places the organism in Eukaryota, Metazoa, Chordata, Aves, Passeriformes, Pipridae. The transcript has 4 exons.
UCAGUGGAUGAAUCUUUGUAUACCUCCUCUUUCUUAGGAUUCCAGGUUUCUAGGAAACUUAGAAGAGCUGUUGCUUCAUUCCUAAAAAAAAGCUUCUCUGAAUGAUUAAUAAUCCAUCCCUUACUACACGUCUGGUUCCUCAGAAUUUGAACAGUCUGCUUUCCUGUCCGUGUGGCUGCUUUUGUCCCACUCAGAACUUGUAACAAACACAUCCAGGUGACAUGGAGAUCAUAUAAAACCUUCUGCAGUCCUUCCAUCCCAGAAAACAAAAUCAAGUUUGGUCUUAAUGGACAAUCAACUACAUGCAACUAAGGAGUGGGAAUGAGGGCCAGGGGGGAAAGCCAUCCGUGAAACAGAAAUGGAUAAAAUUUCACACUCUCAUCUCUCUUGGUUUUGGCAGUGAAUCCAUGGACUUUUUUUCAGUAUGUCAUUUACGUAACUUUUAUUCUGCAGUCAACCAUCUAACAGAUCACUUUGUCCUUCUACAAUUCCUCUUGCAAGAUGCCACCUCUUAAUUUGCCACUUCAUUUGCCAGAACCUCCUUCUUUUCCUUGUGCCAGUGCAAGCGACAUAUUUCUGAAAGUGCCAUAGAAAAAAGGAAUGUAGCCUAGCACAGCUACUGCAGAAAUAGAUGACUAAAGAAAGAGUUGAUUCUUUGAAGAUUUAAAGUCUAAUCACAAAUAA